Molecule: ribosomal RNA, 253 nt
Filed under: uncultured bacterium
Lineage: Bacteria
Description: partial 16S ribosomal RNA
Rfam family: Bacterial small subunit ribosomal RNA
Source: RNAcentral
UACGUAGGGUGCAAGCGUUGUCCGGAAUUAUUGGGCGUAAAGAGCUCGUAGGCGGCUUGUCGCGUCGGCUGUGAAAACCUGGGGCUCAACCCCGGGCCUGCAGCCGAUACGGGCAAGCUAGAAUUCGGUAGGGGAGACUGGAAUUCCUGGUGUAGCGGUGAAAUGCGCAGAUAUCAGGAGGAACACCGGUGGCGAAGGCGGGUCUCUGGCCCGCAACUGACGCUGAGGCGCGAAGGCGUGGGGAGCGAACAGG